RNAcentral lists this ribosomal RNA (495 nucleotides) under uncultured bacterium. RNAcentral's name for it is "partial 16S ribosomal RNA". It matches the Rfam family "Bacterial small subunit ribosomal RNA", at positions 28 to 507 of the family's 1533-position model. The record is from RNAcentral.
GACGAACGCUGGCGGCGUGCCUAAUACAUGCAAGUAGAACGCUGAAGGAGGAGCUUGCUUCUCUGGAUGAGUUGCGAACGGGUGAGUAACGCGUAGGUAACCUGCCUGGUAGCGGGGGAUAACUAUUGGAAACGAUAGCUAAUACCGCAUAAGAGUAGAUGUUGCAUGACAUUUGCUUAAAAGGUGCAAUUGCCUCACUACCAGAUGGACCUGCGUUGUAUUAGCUAGUUGGUGAGGUAACGGCUCACCAAGGCAACGAUACAUAGCCGACCUGAGAGGGUGAUCGGCCACACUGGGACUGAGACACGGCCCAGACUCCUACGGGAGGCAGCAGUAGGGAAUCUUCGGCAAUGGACGGAAGUCUGACCGAGCAACGCCGCGUGAGUGAAGAAGGUUUUCGGAUCGUAAAGCUCUGUUGUAAGAGAAGAACGAGUGUGAGAGUGGAAAGUUCACACUGUGACGGUAUCUUACCAGAAAGGGACGGCUAACUACGUG